AUUGAGAGGCUUGGGUUGUUGCGGAGCCACAUGGGGUUACAAGUCUACCGCCAUUAGCGUCCGAGACGAUGAGGAAGAGGCACCAGAACAAGAGCAAGAAGAAAUAGAGGUCAUAAAUGCAGGACCGAAUCCAUCAGAAGUAAUUUCGGAUCCGGGUUGUCCGGCAACUACUUCGAUUCCGGCGUUUUCAGGUAUGAACUUAGCCGCAGCAUUGGCGGCCGAGCGGCAAUUACGGUAGGCAAAUGUUAUAGGUCCGAGCACCAAUGGGUCAAUAAACAAUGGGGAAGUGAGCGUAACAGCGCCGGGAAUCUUUGAUGAGGCUGCUAGGCGACGUGGACGGUGGAGAUGGAGGAGUAGGCGCAGAGAAUGAGAGAGGAUCAGCGGGGAGCGAUACAGUGUGCUGCGUAUGCAUGGUGAGCAAAAACGGAACAGCAUUUAUCCCAUGUGGGCAUACCUAUUGCAGGGUGUGUUCGAGGGAG
RNAcentral lists this unclassified non-coding RNA (479 nucleotides) under Hevea brasiliensis (rubber tree). The record is from RNAcentral. Lineage: Eukaryota; Viridiplantae; Streptophyta; Magnoliopsida; Malpighiales; Euphorbiaceae.